CGGAAAGAAGCCUAAUGGUCGGGCGCUUUAUUUGGGUUAAAGAACGUCCAGGUUCGAUUCCUGGCUUUCCGA
This is a transfer RNA of Microbotryum lychnidis-dioicae p1A1 Lamole, 72 nucleotides long. It matches the Rfam family "tRNA". From Rfam's summary of the family: Transfer RNA (tRNA) molecules are approximately 80 nucleotides in length. Lineage: Eukaryota; Fungi; Basidiomycota; Microbotryomycetes; Microbotryales; Microbotryaceae. The record is from Rfam.